GUGCUAAGCUUUGGCAGCAUAUAUACUAAAACUGGAACAAUACAGAGAUUAACAUGGCCCCUGUGCAAAGAUGACAUGCAAAAUCAUGAAGCACCCCGUGUUAAA
Molecule: small nuclear RNA, 105 nt
Filed under: Carlito syrichta (Philippine tarsier)
Lineage: Eukaryota; Metazoa; Chordata; Mammalia; Primates; Tarsiidae
Source: RNAcentral